GACGAACGCUGGCGGCGUGCCUAAUACAUGCAAGUCGAACGAAGCUGUUUUAACUGGUGCUUGCACCGACUUAAACAACUGAGUGGCGAACGGGUGAGUAACACGUGGGUAACCUGCCCCAAAGCGGGGGAUAACAUUUGGAAACAGAUGCUAAUACCGCAUAACCACAGAAACCACAUGGUUUCUGUGUCAAAGAUGGUUUCGGCUAUCACUUUGGGAUGGACCCGCGGCGUAUUAGCUAGUUGGUAAGGUAAUGGCUUACCAAGGCAAUGGUACGUAGCCGAACUGAGAGGUUGAUCGGCCAAAUUGGGACUGAGACACGGCCCAAACUCCUACGGGAGGCAGCAGUAGGGAAUCUUCCACAAUGGACGAAAGUCUGAUGGAGCAACGCCGCGUGAGUGAAGAAGGUUUUCGGAUCGUAAAACUCUGUUGUCAGAGAAGAACGUGUGCGAGAGUAACUGUUCAGGUAUUGACGGUAUUUAACCAGAAAGCCACGGCUAACUACGUGCCAGCCGCCGCCGUAA
This 524-nucleotide ribosomal RNA is filed under the name uncultured bacterium. Its description in RNAcentral is "partial 16S ribosomal RNA". It matches the Rfam family "Bacterial small subunit ribosomal RNA", at positions 28 to 523 of the family's 1533-position model. The record is from RNAcentral.